AACGCACAUUGCGCCCCUUGGUAUUCCGAGGGGCAUGCCUGUUCGAGCGUCAUUAUAAACCACUCAAGCCUAGCUUGGUAUUGGGGUUCGCGUGCCCGCGGCCCUUAAAAUCAGUGGCGGUGCCGUCUGGCUCUACGCGUAGUAAUUUUCUCGCUAUAGAGUGCUGCCGGUUACUUGUCAGAACUCCCCCACAUUCUUAGGUUGACCUCGGAUCAGGUAGGGAUACCCGCUGAACUUAA
Molecule: unclassified non-coding RNA, 239 nt
Filed under: uncultured fungus
Lineage: Eukaryota; Fungi
Description: sequence contains ITS2
Rfam family: 5.8S ribosomal RNA (bases 1-52)
Source: RNAcentral